CAAUAGCGUAUAUUUAAGUUGUUGCAGUUAAAAAGCUCGUAGUUGGAUUUCGGUUGAGAGCGGCCGGUCCGCCGUUUGGUGUGCACUGGUUGGUUUUAACUUCCUGUAGAGGACGUGCUCUGGGUUUAACGACCUGGACUCGGAGUCUACGUGGUUACUUUGAAAAAAUUAGAGUGUUCAAAGCGGGCUUACGCUUGAAUAUUUCAGCAUGGAAUAACACUAUAGGACUCCUGUCCUAUUUCGUUGGUCUCGGGACGGGAGUAAUGAUUAAGAGGAACAGUUGGGGGCAUUCGUAUUUCAUUGUCAGAGGUGAAAUUCUUGGAUUUAUGAAAGACGAACUUCUGCGAAAGCAUUUGCCAAGGAUGUUUUCAUUAA
RNAcentral lists this ribosomal RNA (375 nucleotides) under uncultured eukaryote. RNAcentral describes it as "partial 18S ribosomal RNA". It matches the Rfam family "Eukaryotic small subunit ribosomal RNA", at positions 592 to 976 of the family's 1831-position model. The record is from RNAcentral.